Cynara cardunculus var. scolymus (artichoke) is the source of this 3285-nucleotide RNA transcript. It is a transcript of the gene named pentatricopeptide repeat-containing protein At4g20740, with no coding region annotated. The transcript has 3 exons. Lineage: Eukaryota; Viridiplantae; Streptophyta; Magnoliopsida; Asterales; Asteraceae. The record is from RefSeq and is a predicted model, not a curated record.
ACAUAUAUAUGAUCAUUUAGUUUGCAGCAUAAUUCAAGUUAGUGACGAAGGUGAAGUUUGAGUUCAUUUGUUGGAAGCUAGAGAAGAUGUUGGAGCAAACGGUGUGACGAUCAAGUUUUUCUAUGACUUAAUCUGACCAAGUUGUUACGAAUUUGUGUCAAACCCGUCUCUCUAGGUUAUUUCCAUCUUGUUAGAAACAUUCAUUUUGAUCGUGUUUUUUGUAAUUAAACGAUCUCUACAUUAUAAAAUCCUUCGAGAUCGCUUAAGGCAGCCAGCAUAAUUAAUAAAGCAAAUGCCUCCCCAAGCUCCGCCGCCCACCACCGUACCCAGAAGGUUCAACUUUAUCUAUGGCCACCGGAAACCCACUCAGAAUCGCCCCAUUGUCCGCGGUGGCAUUUUCUCCAAUCGCCAAAUCCUCUUCCCCAAUCAAAAUCAUGAACAAGCCACCACCAAUUUUGAACUCGAAAAAUGGAACCCACAACAAUCCGUCACCGCCCCACCACCACCACUUUCCCCAUCGCAACAUUUCUUCUCCGUUGCCCAAACGCUAUCUCCCAUCGCCCGUUACAUCGUCGACUCCUUCCGGAAACACAAGCACUGGGGUCCGCCGGUCGUCGCCGACCUCAACAAACUCCGCCGUGUCACCCCGAAGCUCGUUGCGGAAGUAUUAAAAGUACAAUCAGAUCCAAAUAUCUCCUCCAAAUUCUUCCAUUGGGCUGGUAAGCAGAAAGGGUAUAAACAUGAUUUUGCUAGUUACAAUGCCUUUUCUUAUUGCUUGAAUAGAAACAAUCAGUUCCGGGCAGCCGAUCAGGUGCCGGAGCUGAUGAACAUGCAAGGUAAGCCACCAACUGAGAAACAAUUUGAAAUCUUGAUUAGGAUGCAUUCUGAUGCUAAUAGGGGUCUUAGGGUUUACUAUGCGUAUGAGAAAAUGAAGAAAUUUGGGGUGAAACCUCGAGUUUUCUUGUAUAAUAGGAUCAUGGAUGCUCUUGUGAAAACGGAUCACUUGGAUUUAUCUAUGUCUGUUUACAAUGAUUUCAAGAAUGAUAAAUUGGUGGAGGAAGGAAUCACUUUCAUGAUUUUGGUAAAAGGAUUAUGUAAGGCUGGUAGAAUUGAAGAAGCCCUCGAACUUCUUGGCCGGAUGAGGAAAUUGUGUAAACCAGAUGUGUUUGCUUAUACUGCAAUGAUCAAAAUAUUAGUUUCAGAGGGAAAUUUAGAUGGGUGUUUGAGGGUUUGGCAAGAAAUGGAGAGCGACAAAGUCCAACCCGAUGUUUUGGCUUACGCAACUCUUGUCAUGGGAUUAUGCAAAGGAAAUCGAGUGGAAAAGGGUUAUGAGUUAUUCAAGGAGAUGAAAGAAAAAUGUUAUUUGAUAGAUAGGGCUAUCUAUGGAUCGUUGAUUGAAGGCUUUGUAAACGAUCGAAAAGUUGGAGUGGCAUGUGAUUUGUUGAAGGAUUUGAUCGAGUCGGGAUACAGAGCGGAUUUAGUGAUAUAUAAUCAUCUGAUAAAAGGGUUAUGCAACAUGAAACAUGUUACAAAGGCACAUAAACUUUUCCAGGUUACAGUUGAAGAAGAUCUCAGGCCCGACUUUGAGACUGUGAAUCCGAUGUUGUUUUCUUAUGCAGAGUUGAGAAAAUUUGAUGAAUUUUGCAAACUGCUUGUACAGAUUCAGGGUUUAGGGUUUAGGGUCAUGAAUGAUCUUGUGAAAUUCUUCUCUCUAAUGGUAGGGCAAGAGAGAGAUGGAGCCGUAAUAGCUUUAGAAGUGUUUAAUAACCUGAAGCCGAAAGGUUAUUGCACUGUUCCGAUAUACAAUAUUCUUAUUGGGGCACUCCACAAGAUCGGAGAGGUUAAAAAGGCAUUAAUGUUCUUCCACGAAUUGAAGGAAUCGAAGAUGGAACCCAAUUCUUGUACCUAUAGCAAUGCAAUUUUGUGCUUUGUUGAAACCGGAGAGAUUCAUGAAGCAUGUUCUUGCUACAAUGAAAUAAAAGAGAUGUCUUCAAUUCCGUCUAUUGAUGCUUAUGUGUCAUUGGUUAAAGGUCUCUGUAAAAUUGGAGAAAUUGAUGAUGCUUUCAUGGUUGUUCGUGACUGUUUAGCGAAUGUCACUAGUGGGCCCAGGGAGUUUAAGUAUACUCUUAGAAUUAUUCAUAUUUGUAGAUCGAAUGAUGCCAAUAAAGUGAUGGGUGUUAUCAAUGAGAUGGUGGAAGAUGGUUGUUCACCUGAUGAUGUUAUAUUUUGUGCGGUUAUCGCUGGCAUGUGCCGUUAUGGAACUAUUGAGGAGGGUAGAAAAGUUUUUUCAAGUAUGAGAGAGUGCAAGAUGCUAACGGAAUCGGACUUGGUUGUUUAUGACGAUUUGCUAAUUGACCAUAUGAAGAAGAAAACAGCCGACUUGGUGCUGUCUGGCUUGAAGUUUUUCAGGCUCGAGUCAAAGUUGAAAGCAAAGGGCUCUAAUCUCUUGCCAAGCUAGAAAUGUGAGAUUAGAGAAUAUAAAUUUCGGGAGAGAUUUUGGUUGCGGGAGAUUGUGCAAGUUAUCCUUGGUGCUCUAUAAGUUCAUCGACUCGCAAGAAGUGCAACACUUUCCAGUUUUCAUUCUUGGGAUGGUUUUUACGUCAAUAACACUUUCUAUGGAACAUCUUAAUGAGUAAUGACUUCUUAAAGGCCGACGAGAACGUCAUUUUUAUCGAGAGAUCUUUGGUCCGUCCACCAGGUACUUUUCUUCCUUGCUCUUGGUAUAACAUGUCAAUGUCAGAAGGUUAUGCAUUUAAAAAAAAUUGUUAAGACAAUCAUGCAUAUAAAAAAAAUCUCUCAGAAGGUUAUUAUGAUAAAUAACCUUGCUUUUAGAGCUUGGACUUCUACCAAGAUCCAAUAAUCAUUUGGAAAAGAUCGAAUUAACAUAACCAUUGAUCUUUAAUUCUUAUGCAUUUCUUAAGAUUUUCGUCUAAAACAUAUUUGGCCCACAAGUCGUGAGCCUUAGACCAAAACAUAUAUUUUAGCAAUAAAACUACAAUUAGUUAAUGGUGGUAUGAAAUAGUGAUCAAGAUUAGCAAUAAUUUAUUUAGGUUGUAUUCCUAAUUAAUGUUUGUGAACCAUCUCACCACACCUUGUGGUUGUUGUCCUUUAAUCGAAGAAGCACUUAGUGGGCCGAUUCAAGAGAUUUGGGCCACUUCUCAAAUGGUCCAUUCGAACUUAGGUGCAAAGAAAGAUGAAGGAAUACUAAAUCUGAGUCAAGCUAUUGAUAGGUUGAUGCUUAAUUGGUUGAUUGAUUGACAUCCUUCAAGCGUGACUGUUGGUGAA